This 461-nucleotide ribosomal RNA is filed under the name uncultured bacterium. RNAcentral's name for it is "bacterial SSU rRNA". It matches the Rfam family "Bacterial small subunit ribosomal RNA", at positions 28 to 483 of the family's 1533-position model. The record is from RNAcentral.
GAUGAACGCUAGCGGCAGGCUUAACACAUGCAAGUCGAGGGGCAGCAUGAACCGACCUUCGGGAAGGUUUGAUGGCGACCGGCGCAAGGGUGCGUAACGCGUGAGCAACUUGCCCGUUUCUGGGGAAUAACCGGUGGAAACGCCGACUAAUACCCCAUAGCAUCAACUUUGGGCAUCCUUAGUUGAUUAAAGAAUUUCGGAAACGGAUAGGCUCGCGUGACAUUAGCUGGAUGGCGGGGUAACGGCCCACCAUGGCUACGAUGUCUAGGGGUUCUGAGAGGAAGGUCCCCCACACUGGAACUGAGACACGGUCCAGACUCCUACGGGAGCAGCAGUGAGGAAUAUUGGUCAAUGGUCUGACGACUGAACCAGCCAUGCCGCGUGAAGGUCAGGCCCUANGGGUCUUAAACUUCUUUGCAGGGAGCAAUAAGGUCUACGUGUAGACUGAUGAGAGUACCUUG